CAUCACGCUCGCGCGAAGUGAAUGUCUCUCUGAGUGCUGCCAAAGUUUUACAGUGAAAAUCUAACACAGUUCCGCCAUUUCGUCGUGGCAUUUAAAUUGCAGUCACAGGGAGGGAGUGUGGAUGAAUAAGCCUGUCAAGGUGAUGUUGAGCAUGGCCCAUGACUGCAACUCUAUUCUGACUGCGGGAUUGAGGAAAUCCUAGGGUUUCAAGUUCACCUCUCAAUGCUCUCAGGGGAUGCAUUGCGCUGACUGUGGCGACCUACUGACCUUUUCUCUUUCGCCACCUUCACACCAAAGUUUCCAUCUCUACAUAAAUUCCGAGACAGAAGGAGGAGUGGCAGACAUGAUGGACAGAGAACAAGCAAGCAGGUGUUGUUUUUAUGGCUUUCU
Pleuronectes platessa (European plaice) is the source of this 390-nucleotide long non-coding RNA. RefSeq lists it as uncharacterized. NCBI's taxonomy places the organism in Eukaryota, Metazoa, Chordata, Actinopteri, Pleuronectiformes, Pleuronectidae. The transcript is spliced from 4 exons. The record is from RefSeq and is a predicted model, not a curated record.